UACGUAGGGUGCGAGCGUUGUCCGGAAUUAUUGGGCGUAAAGAGCUCGUAGGCGGUGUGUUACGUCGGCCGUGAAAACCUGCAGCUUAACUGUGGGCGUGCGGUCGAUACGGGCAUCACUGGAGUUCGGCAGGGGAGACUGGAAUUCCUGGUGUAGCGGUGAAAUGCGCAGAUAUCGGGAGGAACACCAGUGGCGAAGGCGGCACUCUGGGCCGGUACUGGCGCUGAGGAGCGAAAGCGUGGGGAGCGAACAGG
This 254-nucleotide ribosomal RNA is filed under the name uncultured bacterium. Its description in RNAcentral is "partial 16S ribosomal RNA". It matches the Rfam family "Bacterial small subunit ribosomal RNA", at positions 524 to 776 of the family's 1533-position model. The record is from RNAcentral.